Molecule: ribosomal RNA, 253 nt
Filed under: uncultured bacterium
Lineage: Bacteria
Description: partial 16S ribosomal RNA
Rfam family: Bacterial small subunit ribosomal RNA
Source: RNAcentral
UACGUAGGGUGCGAGCGUUAAUCGGAAUUACUGGGCGUAAAGCGUGUGUAGGCGGCCACGUAAGUCGGAUGUGAAAGCCCCGGGCUCAACUCGGGAAGUGCACUCGAUACUGCGUGGCUUGAGUACUGGAGAGGUUGGUGGAAUUCUCGGUGUAGAGGUGAAAUUCGUAGAUAUCGAGAGGAACACCGGUGGCGAAGGCGGCCAACUGGACAGAUACUGACGCUGAGACACGAAAGCGUGGGGAGCAAACAGG